RNAcentral lists this ribosomal RNA (253 nucleotides) under uncultured bacterium. Its description in RNAcentral is "partial 16S ribosomal RNA". It matches the Rfam family "Bacterial small subunit ribosomal RNA", at positions 524 to 776 of the family's 1533-position model. The record is from RNAcentral.
UACGUAGGGUGCAAGCGUUAAUCGGAAUUACUGGGCGUAAAGCGUGCGCAGGCGGUUUUGUAAGUCUGUUGUGAAAGCCCCGGGCUUAACCUGGGAAUGGCGAUGAAGACUGCAAGGCUAGAAUCUGGCAGAGGGGGGUAGAAUUCCACGUGUAGCAGUGAAAUGCGUAGAGAUGUGGAGGAACACCGAUGGCGAAGGCAGCCCCCUGGGUCAAGAUUGACGCUCAUGCACGAAAGCGUGGGGAGCAAACAGG